Molecule: long non-coding RNA, 3069 nt
Filed under: Homo sapiens (human)
Lineage: Eukaryota; Metazoa; Chordata; Mammalia; Primates; Hominidae
Description: PCBP1 antisense RNA 1, transcript variant 78 (PCBP1-AS1)
Source: RNAcentral
GUCCCCGGCGUCCGGGCGCCCUGCAUGGAUCCCCCACCCCAGCUCCUGCUCCCCGGCGGCGGCCGGUGGGCAGAAAGACCGAAACCCACUCACGGCCGCCUGCCGAAUCGCGGCUCUGCUGUUUGUGGGGCGUGCUAGAAACGUGGUCCUAAAAAGAAUGGCGUCCAUUUACAUAAUGCUUUGUUUGCGUUUCGCAAGUUUCUUUCGGUUAAAGCCACAGAAACCCCACCUCCUGCCCUUGUGUCGUUUCCACCGCGGCACCCUUUUCCGACAUUAGAAACAAUAGUGUACGCCUGUGGAGGCCUCGUUUGUUCAGGGGCUGCCGGCCAGGGCUUCAGGACGUUUCUGCGGCUUUCCCCGCGCGGCCUGGGCUCCCGCGGCUGCUUUUCGGGCCCAUGGGCGCAGCCACUGCGCCAGGCUCAAGGGGGGCGGCCCCGUCAGGGCCCGCCAUCUUGGAAGGCCUUUUUUGCCGGUUCUUCCCGCUGAGGAAGUGUCGCUCAAGACGCUGGCCUAUGAGUUGUGAUUUCUGCCUUUUCCCCUUCCUCCUUGGGCUAAGCCAGACCAGAAAGGGCCCCGUGCGCAACGUGCUUCACAAUCUCUCAGGGAAAGCGGCUAACGUGGCGCUACUCCGCCUCCCCUGUUCCUUACCCUUGGGGCGGCCGCCAUGUUUCCUGAACACAAAAUGGCGACACGUGGUUAGCAUUCGUCGCCAACGAGAAAUUGGGGUCGGCCCGAAAGCUCUAGAAUGCACCCCUCUUCCUCCCCGGGGCCUUCCACCUCCGCGAGUUUUAUGACUUAAAAAAGCCCACAGGCUGGUCUGAAGGUCGGAGGCCUAAUUUUAACGCGUUUUCCUCCCUUUAAUUUGAAACGGGAACGCGAAUGACUGUAAAAUGUGGGCACAAUAUUUAAUCUCUCGCCUUUUUAAAGCUUAAUAGUGGAUAAUAGGGGGGCAGUAUCAAGGGAUAAUUUGGGUCCCCACAGUACCAAAGCAUUUAGAAACCUCUGUUUAAUUUAAGGAAUGAGAUAAGUUACUGCUUUUCUAGACUUCCUAGCAUGGGCUGUUGUGCUGGAGAGAACGAGAGCUACGAAGAGACUACAGUGCCUCUGACUUUUUCAUAGGACAGUUGGCCGGUGAAUCUUAUUAAUAGUUUACCACAAUUAAGUGUUCAUUUUUAGUCUAGAAGGGACAGGCGUUUAUUGUGCAUUGGCCAGUGCCAGCACAUCCGAUGCAAGGCAGUUCACCGUAUUCUAUCUUUAAUUUUUACCAUGGUCCUCUGAGGUAGGUGUUCUUAUCUCUCUCUCUCUCUCUCUCUUUUAAACAGAGGAAGACAAACAUAAAGAUGAAGUGCUUAAUUCAAGGUCACACAAUGUCGGGGAUGGACCUCCAGAUUUCCUUACUGGUGAGACGUGGUCUUGUAACACAGUGGUUAAGAAUGUGACUUUGGAGCCAGCCUGCUAGGGGCUGAAUUCUGACUCAGCCAUUUACUAACUGUGUGACCUUAGGCUGGAGUGCAAUGGCAUGAUCUCGGCUCAUCACAACCUCUGCUUCCUGGGUUCAAGCGAUUCUCCUGCCUCAGCCUCCCGAGUACCUGGGACUACAGGCACUCGCCACCAUGCCCGGCUGAUUUUUGUAUUUUUAAUAGAGAUGGUUUCACUAUGUUGGCCAGGCUGGUCUCGAACUCCUGACCUUGUGAUCUGCCCACCUCAGCCUCGAAAAGUGCUGGGAUUACAGGCGUGAGCCACUGCGCCCAGCCUUGUAUUUUUUUUCAGUUUGGGUAGCUGUCCCUAAUUCAUUUGUUAAAGGAGAAGCAAGAGCAAGAACCUUUAAUCUGUUCUCCUCUUCCCUAAUUUGAAAGUAGCUUGUUAUUUUGAAUAUCACUUUCUCUGAAAUAGCACAUCUCCAUCUCAGAGAAUGGAUUUAAUGUUUGGAUACAGCCAAAAGUCAUUUCAUUACCAAACCAUGGGGUGAAUAUACCAUGUAAAGCAGUUUGGGAUCAGAACUCACAGUCUGAAUUGUAAGUGAUGAGACUGCUGUCUCUCUGCUACAGCUUCUUGGCUGGCUCUGAAGGCUCUUUGAAGGCAGAUCCUAACAAGGGGACUGCUUUGAAGGGCCAUUGUUCAUUUGGAAUGAUAAAGUCUAUGUUGUUCAAAAAACAAAUGCUUGUAGCAGGUAUUUUUUCACUCCAGACUGAGAAUAUUGGUGGGAUAUUGAUAAGGGGUACUGAAUGGUAAUAAACAUGUGCUCUAGCUCUGUGCUAGUCAGCUUAUUUCAGAACUCUAGUUUGAUUCAGUUUCUUGCCUCUGACUCAAAAUGGAGGGAGAGUGAUUUUUACAUAAGAGAACACACCCACAUAUCCUUUUGGCAGCAGCUACCUGCCAGAGAUGUUGAAGAAGAGUAGCCAACCUUUACACAGCAGAUAUUGUGUGCCAGUCAUAGUCCUAAGUAUAAUACCUUACAUGUAUAAACUUCUUAUAAGGUUGGUGCUCUGUACCGAAUUGAAUAGUAUCCCCCAAAAUUCAUGUUGUCCCAGAACCUAUGAAAGUGAUCUUACUUGAGGGAGGGGGGAGGGGGGAGGGAUAGCAUUAGGAGAUAUACCUAAUGCUAAAUGACGAGUUAAUGGGUGUAGCACACCAGCAUGGCACAUGUAUACAUAUGUAACUAACCUGCACAUUGUGCACAUGUACCCUAAAACUUAAAGUAUAAUAAUAAUAAAAUAAAAAAAAAAAAGAAAGUGAUCUUACUUGGAAAUAAGGUCUUUGCACAUAUGAUCAAGUUGAGAUGAAGUUGUACUGGAAAGUCUGUCUAGUGACUGGUGUUGUCAUAAGAAGAGAGGGACACAGAGGGAAGAUGGCCACAUGAAGAUGGAGGCAGAGAUUGCAGUUAUGCUGCUGCAAACUAAGGAAUGGCUCUGGCCCUCCAAGGAUUGCUGAUAACCACCAGAAACUAGAAGAGACAAGGAAGGAUUCUUCCCUAGAGCCUUCAGAGGGAGCAUGGCCCUACUGACACCUGGAUUUCAAACUUGUAGCUUCCUAAACUGCAAGAGAAUAAAUUUCUGUUGUUUUAAGCCA